GACGAUUCCUCUUCCCUAAGAAACCUGCUAAAGCUAGAGCUGAACCUGAAGCCCUCUUGCUAUGAGGAGGCUGCUGACAGUGCCUGUCUUUCCUCCUUACAGCACUACUAUCUCGCCACCUCCGCUGCCCCUCCAGCCUACCCCCAGCUCUGAAACCACCAAGCCCUUUGUCAAGUCCUCACACCAACUCCAGCAGCAGGACCCUGUGGGGCCUACCAGCAGCUCAGCGCCUUCACUGGGCCUCCUCCCUGCCAUCACUGCCUCUAUUGUGGCCCCCUUCUUACUACACACCUUUGGGCCUUCCUGACCUCAACCACCCUCGCAGAGAAGCCAGAGAAACCACAGGAGUCUGUGGCCAUGUCCACCAUCUGACCCCACCUCAGAGGGUGCUAACACCUCAAGGCAGGUCACAAAGGACAGGGACCUUAGAACAUUAGAGCUUUAUUGUACUCAAGUUACAUCUUCUUUUUUGUAGAAGGUCUUAAUUUCCCAUAGUGCUAUGGGGCUCUUUUGUAAAAUAUGUGUCCAUAUUAAAAAAGAAAA
This 543-nucleotide long non-coding RNA is filed under the name Rattus norvegicus (Norway rat). RNAcentral describes it as "long non-coding RNA NONRATT022503". Lineage: Eukaryota; Metazoa; Chordata; Mammalia; Rodentia; Muridae. The record is from RNAcentral.